AAACAAAAAAUAAGACAACAAUCAGUCCUAGGACAAAUUAGGAAACAAAAAUUCAUCUUCAUCUUUGUUGUCUCUAUCGCCGCCCUUACCUAUUUCUUCCUCAGCGUACAUUUGAAUUUUCGGUCAGCAUCACUAUCGUUGUUCUUCUGUAAGUUUGGUCUUCAUCUUGCUCACUGAAGGUAAGUCUCUCAUCUUUGUUUUCAUUGAUCUAAGCAAUAGUUCAAUGGGCUGAGCUUAGCUGGAAGCUGAUACCACUAUAUAAGCUAAAGAUUAAAUCUAGAAAACUAAAGAUUAGAGUUUUUUAGUGUAAAAAGGUGUUGUAGAUAAUGAAUAAUUUCAAGGAUUUUUUUAUAGAUCUAAAAUACCUACUUUUUGAAUACCCCACCUUCAACAUCCUUGAAUCUCACUGGAUGUAGGUGUUAUAUUCAAAAGAAAUCACUUCUAACAGUAGGUUUAUUCAUUUCCAUAUUUAAUCCCUAAAAUGUAUUACUUCAUCUAUUCCAAACUUUUCCUUGUCAAUGAUCGUAGGUCAAUGAUGAUAUUCCCCCGUAUCAGUUCCUUUGGAUGCGUGUUAAUAACCCAAAAUAUCACUUAUUUUCUAGAUUCUUGUUGAUAGUUGAUAGCUGACCACGAUUUAUUUUGCUAAUGAUUAAAAGAUUUGGUGACCCAAUCAUUUGUUAUGAUUACCUUGUUCUCUUUCCCCAUUUUAUCUACAUCAUGAUGACAAUCAAGUACUGUAACAUCAUCUUUUUGAUUCUGCAUGUGCUCUUUUAUGUCUUCUGUAAGUAAUUGGAAUUGAUUUUCAGUACUGAUCUUCUCCGAGAUUAUAGCCUUUUCACCUUGGUAACCUUUAUUAGUAAGUCUUCUUCUGGUGGGACUCCAUUUGUUUUCCUGAUUAUAAAACCAUUUAGCAGAUAUUUUUACUUUAUUACUCUCCUCUUCUUUACUAUGAUUAAAUUGUCGUGCAUUUUCUCCAUCUCCCUCAUGUUUCUACAUUAGAUUUGGAUAUAAAACUUGACAUUCUUGUUUAUUGUGACCUUGUAACAUACAUCUUUUGCAAUACUUAGGUAGAGAUUCAUAUUGAAUCAUUACUUUUUCUACUCUGGAAUUCCUAUUUGAUGAAUUCACUAUCUCCAUUUCAACAUAAUUAGGAAGGUCAGCAAGCAAAUCUAUCUGGACCUAACCCUAGCACAACUGGGUCUUAUUUUAUUCACAAUAGCCAUAUCCAAAUAUAUUGAUCUUCCAACUGUAGCGGCUAAUAAAAAGAGAGAUUAUAAAAAAAUAUGUAGGUUUAAGUUAUGAAAAUAAAUCCAAGCCAUUGCCUGUAUUGUUUUUGUAUUAGUCUGGAACUUAGCAUCAUAUAUAAACUUUUGCAUUUGAUAUGAAUAUCCGUCCUUAGAAUUGAUAUGUAUACAUUCUUGUACAUUACAGUAGAAAAAUCAUUAGCUCUAUCAAGCCUCGGUAAAAUAUGAUGAUUUUUUAAUAAACCAAUUUUACAUGCUCCUUUAACAUGUAGUUGUUUAGGGAGUUGUAAUCUUAGUUCAUCUAAAUUAAGCCAAUCAUAUGAGAACUUUCCAACAACUGCAUAUUGAAUCCCUUCAAUGAUAUUUAUUAUAUCGACCUCCUCCUCUUUCCAUUGUACUAUGCUAUUCCAUUAAUGAACUUCGGCUCUUUAAUAGGAAUAGGUUCAACUUCAGAUGAAUUAUUUAACCCAGUAUUGUGUUUCAACAGAUUUGCAAAGAUCAUUUUUGGAGAAAUUGAUAAAUCAUUAUCAGUUAAUGGGGGUGUAAUAUGUGUCUUACAAGGUAAUGACUGGAAAUUAUCCUUAUUAAUCUCUAUUGAAGACUGGUCAGCCAUCAAAUUUGGCUGACAACCAGCCAACUUGGCCAUGCCGGUAUGGAAAAAUUAAAACUAUGAUAGUGGUGGUGUAAAGAGUAGGAUGUCAAUAGGAGUCUAUUUUCAAAUAUACAUGCAUUUCUACAACAACUAAGGUUAUCUCGUCUGGUGUAUUCUUGCUAUCCCCGUGUUAAAAUUGUCCUAACUCGUCAUUCGAGGAUGAAUGAUCCCAAAGCGGGGAUAAUGUAAGACCCUCAAAAUUUUGGGCAUUAUGUUUCUGGACUUAUCGUGUUUGAAACAUCAAUAUUUUUUACAUAAAUAUUUUUAGGGACGUUAAUAGGGGGUCUCAAGAGUUUUUCAAAAUUUUUGAAAGGUUUUUUAGGGUAAUUUUGGAAUUCAUAGGCAGUAAGCGUCCGCAUUUUUUACGUGCCAUGGAGGAUAACCUCUGCAAUUUCAAUGUGAAAUGGAGGUAGUAUGCAUCUGCAAUGACUCCAUGUCAUGGAGGAUAAUCUCCAUGAUAAUCAACGUGGCAUAGAGGAUAGCCUCCGCAAUAAGUUCAUGUCACACUUAUGUUUAAAAUUUUUGCAGUUUUUAUUUUAUUCACUUGGGAUGGGGGUAAUGAAGAAGGUUUUUUGGUACUUUCACCCAUGUAUGAUCCUUAAAUAAAAAAUAAUUCAUUUUUAUCAUUUUUUCAAAUAUCAACUACUCUAUUUCACUCUAAAACUCAAAACCUAAGAAAAACUUAAGGGUUUCAUUGUGCAUUCAUCUUUUGAGUUCCAAGCUCCAAAUUGGUUUCAAAUUCUUGUUUAUCUAAGGCGUGUAUCUCUUUCCCAAAACUUUUUUGUUAAGAGCAUAUGUUCACUAUUGUUAUAUAUGUGAUUUAAGUGUUGUUUUUGAAUGUGGGUUAAGAGCAUAUGUUCACUAUUGUUAUAUAUGUUAUAUAUUGAUUGAAUUACUUUUCCCAUGGCUUUGGUGAAUAUUCAUGGUUUGAAUUGAUAGUUUUGAACUAAUUAGGUGCAUGGACAUGAUUAAUUUUUAUUAGGAUCGUGGAUUCCCCCAAAUUGAUUUCUUGGCUCAGAAUUUGUAUUAAUCUCAACUCACUUUAUGAAAUUGGUUUCGAAUAUGAAAAUACACAUGAUUUAACUCACUUAUGGAGCCUUGCAUUGCAUAAAACGUUGAUUGAAUGUUUUUUGAACUUAAAUUGGAACUUGGGGGUCAUGUAUUCCCCUAUAUGGAUGAAUAUUGAAACUUGUGGGGUCGUGGAUUCACCUAAGUAAUGGAUAAUUAGAAUGGCAUAAUGAUAAUAGCUUGCAAUCAUAAUCGGUAUUACGAUACAAAAGGUAAAUUCCUUAAUAGAUGAUUUUGGUUCAACAAAUGGGAAUGUGUAUAUAUAUGUAUAUAUAUAUAUAUAUAUAUCAUGGAUUAGUGAAGGGUGUUUGAUUUCUUAGCUUUCUUGAUACCUCUAAUUCUUGCGGCUGACACGCUCUAGGGACUUACCAGCGGGGAGAGAGCUAGACCCAUAUAGUCUAUGGGUACUUUUAUGAUGGUAAAGCUACAGAGUACAGACUAAUUUUUUAAAUAUCAUGCUAAGCCUUGUUCCCUAUCCUAGCAUAUUAUAUCUAUAUAUGUAUAUGAUUUUGUGCAUGUGGUUUUGAAUGAAUUUGGACUUAUUUGAUCAAGGAAUUAUUGUAUUCGUAUUCCCUUAGUUACAUGCUAGUGCUCACACCGCUAACCUUUUCCGAAUGUUGUAUCCCCAUGUGAUGCAGGAUACGAAGAUACUUCUACUUUCUUAUAUAGUAAUAGAUAAUUUUUGGAUUGUUCGUGAGUCAACUUAAAGUGGUGAGCCUUCUUAUUUCGAAAGGCUUGAUACUUUAUGGUUUUCUUUAUGUCUAGACUAUUGUUGGAUUCCUCUCUUAUCUAUCGUUGGGGGCAUGUCCCCGACUUAGGUUGUUCUUUGGAUAUUAAAGGCUUUGUGGAUUACUAUGGAUUGGGAUUGUUGUUGGAAAUCUUAGUUUCAUUUGAGCUAUUUGUUUAUCUUAAUCAUAUAUAUUUUGAUUGCUU
Long non-coding RNA from Capsicum annuum, 3897 nucleotides. RefSeq lists it as uncharacterized. NCBI's taxonomy places the organism in Eukaryota, Viridiplantae, Streptophyta, Magnoliopsida, Solanales, Solanaceae. The record is from RefSeq and is a predicted model, not a curated record. The transcript is spliced from 2 exons.